This 501-nucleotide ribosomal RNA is filed under the name uncultured bacterium. Its description in RNAcentral is "partial 16S ribosomal RNA". It matches the Rfam family "Bacterial small subunit ribosomal RNA", at positions 30 to 523 of the family's 1533-position model. The record is from RNAcentral.
AUUGAACGCUGGCGGCAGGCUUAACACAUGCAAGUCGAGCGGGGUGAUGGUGCUUGCACUAUCACUUAGCGGCGGACGGGUGAGUAAUGCUUAGGAAUCUGCCUAUUAGUGGGGGACAACAUCUCGAAAGGGAUGCUAAUACCGCAUACGUCCUACGGGAGAAAGCAGGGGAUCUUCGGACCUUGCGCUAAUAGAUGAGCCUAAGUCGGAUUAGCUCGUGGGUGGGGUAAAGGCCUACCAAGGCGACGAUCUGUAGCGGGUCUGAGAGGAUGAUCCGCCACACUGGGACUGAGCAACGGCCCAGACUCCUACGGGAGGCAGCAGGGGGGAAUAUUGGACAAUGGGGGGAACCCUGAACCAGCCAUGCCGCGUGUGUGAAGAAGGCCUUAUGGUUGUAAAGCACUUUAAGCGAGGAGGAGGCUACUCUAGUUAAUACCUAGGGAUAGUGGACGUUACUCGCAGAAUAAGCACCGGCUAACUCUGUGCCAGCAGCCGCAGUAA